Non-coding RNA from Clostridium sp. CAG:253, 72 nucleotides. The record is from Rfam. Lineage: Bacteria; Bacillati; Bacillota; Clostridia; Eubacteriales; Clostridiaceae.
GCUCCCAUAGUUAAAUGGAUAUAACAGCCCCCUCCUAAGGGGCAGUUGUAGGUUCGAUUCCUACUGGGAGUG